CGUCAGUGCAGGCCCAGGGGAUUGCCUUCGCCAUCGGUGUUCCUCCGCAUAUCUACGCAUUUCACUGCUACACGCGGAAUUCCAUCCCCCUCUGCCGCACUCUAGCCUUGCAGUCACAAUGGCAGUUCCCAGGUUGAGCCCGGGGAUUUCACCACUGUCUUACAAAACCGCCUGCGCACGCUUUACGCCCAGUAAUUCCGAUUAACGCUUGCACCCUACGUAUUACCGCGGCUGCUGGCACGUAGUUAGCCGGUGCUUAUUCUUACGGUACCGUCAUGACCCGGGGAUAUUAGCCCCAGGCUUUUCGUUCCGUACAAAAGCAGUUUACAACCCGAGGGCCUUCAUCCUGCACGCGGCAUUGCUGGAUCAGGCUUUCGCCCAUUGUCCAAAAUUCCCCACUGCUGCCUCCCGUAGGAGUCUGGGCCGUGUCUCAGUCCCAGUGUGGCUGGUCGUCCUCUCAGACCAGCUACAGAUCGCAGGCUUGGUAAGCCUUUACCCCACCAACUACCUAAUCUGCCAUCAGCCGCUCUAGUAGCACAAGGCCCGAAGGUCCCCUGCUUUCAUCCGUAGAUCUCAUGCGGUAUUAGCUACUCUUUCGAGUAGUUAUCCCCCACUACUAGGCACGUUCCGAUGUAUUACUCACCCGUUCGCCACUCGUCAGCAUCCGAAGACCUGUUACCGUUCGACUUGCAUGUGUAAAGCAUGCCGCCAGCGUUCAAU
RNAcentral lists this ribosomal RNA (720 nucleotides) under Comamonas thiooxydans. RNAcentral describes it as "partial 16S rRNA". Lineage: Bacteria; Pseudomonadati; Pseudomonadota; Betaproteobacteria; Burkholderiales; Comamonadaceae. The record is from RNAcentral.